RNAcentral lists this long non-coding RNA (1411 nucleotides) under Marmota monax (woodchuck). The record is from RNAcentral. Lineage: Eukaryota; Metazoa; Chordata; Mammalia; Rodentia; Sciuridae.
GGGACAUCCUCUCUGAUGUUCUCUAUCUACAGGGUGCUCUGCUUGCUCAGCCACCACUUAGCCUCUGUCUCUAGGGGCUGUGAUCACAGUCCUCCCUGGGCAGGUUCUUGGGGUGCUAGAAACUGGCAAGGGACGACUUCCUGCCCCUGAGCCCUACAAGGCGUCUGCUGGCAGAGUCUGCGGCCUGGGCUGCAGGAAGCCCUGAAAGCUGCAGCUGACAGCAGCAGCAUCUUCAGGAGACCAGGCAUGCGAAGGGAGGUGGCAAUGUCCAAGUCUCCGAGAAAAGAUCCAAGGGUCCGCAGGACCCUGGAAAAGCACCGAGGAGGCACUUUUUGCAACAACUGAGGAGCAGUUGCAGGGUGGCAGCAAGAUGACCUGCGAAUGGUGGCACUGGCCCAGGCAGCCCCGAGUGGCCAACCAGUAUAGGGAAGUCGGCGGGGGCCACGACCGGACUUCUUGUAGGACCCUUCGGGCAGGUCUCUGCCCCUCAGUGCCAGGGCAGGGCUGAGGGACAACACUUGCCCUGGGAAGUCCCCAUGGCAGUCUUCGAGAAGGUGCUAGUCGGUAAUUCUAGCAUUGAUCACAGAAGCUCCUUCUUCGGCUGCCCACGCAGCUUCAAGCGAAAUGGCUGUCAGACCUGUUGCUGGGUCGCAGCUGAGGAAGGAAUGAGUGGAGAACACGCGAGCACGUGAGGAAAACCAUCCACACUGGGCAAGAGGCAGACUUGCGCCAGGAAAUGACGUGCAAAUUCCCCGUGCUUGUGCAAAGUUUGCAUGCGCGUGCAAAGUCCACGUGCUUGCACCAGAUGCUGGAGAAAUAGGCGUGGGAACUGCGUGCCUGGUGCGUGUGUGGGUCCUAGGGGGACUGUUGAGUGCUGGCACUGGGGCUGUGAUCCAGGUCCCACUGAUCCACCUCCUGACCCAGUGAGGUUUCCCAAUCAUCUGGGAAGGGUUGUAGAUGAUGGAAAGCCCAAAGGUUGAGGGGUGGCAGCUAUGGCAAGGCCAGCGAUCUCUCCCCUCAGACUGGUGCAGCGACCCUGCCCCUCCCCAGAGGCAGCCAGGAUGGCAGCACAGAUGGGCUGAACUCCAAUGGACGUGGGGGCAGUCAGAGGGCUGAGCAGGCUCUUGCUGCGGGUUGAGGGUAGCUCUUGGGGCGUGGAGCAGGUGGGGACUAGGGUGACAAGCAGGUCUUUGGCUGGCAGUACCUGCACAUUCUGUAGGGAGACAUAUCCCUGCCUCUUCAGGAGAGCACUUCUCUGAAAAGGUGGGCAGUGGCAUGGCCCCAAUAGAAGUGCCCCCCAUACCUCCAAGCUUGGAGCAGGGUGGUAACCUCCCUGGGCCUCUGAAGGGGAAAGCAAUGUCAUUAGAUGGGCGGUGCACCAGCAGGUGAGCAAGUGGUGGUGGCAUCUCCA